This 545-nucleotide ribosomal RNA is filed under the name uncultured bacterium. Its description in RNAcentral is "bacterial SSU rRNA". It matches the Rfam family "Bacterial small subunit ribosomal RNA", at positions 847 to 1398 of the family's 1533-position model. The record is from RNAcentral.
CGCAGCUAACGCAAUAAGUAUCCCACCUGGGGAGUACGAUCGCAAGGUUGAAACUCAAAGGAAUUGACGGGGGCCCGCACAAGCGGUGGAGUAUGUGGUUUAAUUCGAAGCAACGCGAAGAACCUUACCAGGGCUUGACAUCCCGGUGACCGGCAUAGAGAUAUGCUUUUCCUUCGGGACACCGGUGACAGGUGGUGCAUGGUUGUCGUCAGCUCGUGUCGUGAGAUGUUGGGUUAAGUCCCGCAACGAGCGCAACCCUUAUUGUUAGUUGCUACGCAAGAGCACUCUAACGAGACUGCCGUUGACAAAACGGAGGAAGGUGGGGACGACGUCAAAUCAUCAUGCCCCUUAUGUCCUGGGCCACACACGUACUACAAUGGCGGCCAACAAAGAGAGGCGAACCCGCGAGGGGGAGCAAAUCUCCAAAAGCCGUCCCAGUUCGGAUUGCAGGCUGCAACCCGCCUGCAUGAAGUUGGAAUCGCUAGUAAUCGCGGAUCAGCAUGCCGCGGUGAAUACGUUCCCGGGCCUUGCACACACCGCCCGUC